Molecule: non-coding RNA, 46 nt
Filed under: Schistosoma mansoni
Lineage: Eukaryota; Metazoa; Platyhelminthes; Trematoda; Strigeidida; Schistosomatidae
Source: RNAcentral
ACAUAGCUGAAGAGUCCCACAAUGGGACGAAACGGCUGUCCAGUGC